CCUACGGGAGGCAGCAGUGAGGAAUAUUGGUCAAUGGCCGAAAGCCUGAACCAGCCAAGCCGCGUGAGGGAAGACGGCUCUAUGGGUUGUAAACCGCUUUUGUAGGGGAGUAAAACCAACCACGUGUGUUUGACUGAGAGUAUCCUAAGAAUAAGCAUCGGCUAACUCCGUGCCAGCAGCCGCGGUAAUACGGAGGGUUCAAGCGUUAUCCGGAUUUAAUGGGGUUAAAGGGUGGGGAGGCGGAAGGGUAAGUUAGGGGGUAAAUUCCGGGGCUUAACCUCGGAAUUGCCUUUGAUACUGUGCGGCUAGAGUGCAGGAGAGGUAGGCGGAAUGCGUGGUGUAGCGGUGAAAUGCUUAGAUAUCAGGCAGAACACCGAUGGCGAAGGCAGCUUACCGG
RNAcentral lists this ribosomal RNA (397 nucleotides) under uncultured bacterium. Its description in RNAcentral is "partial 16S ribosomal RNA". It matches the Rfam family "Bacterial small subunit ribosomal RNA", at positions 338 to 732 of the family's 1533-position model. The record is from RNAcentral.